CUUUCUUCUCCAAAAACUUAAGUAAGUUGUUCUGAUCUUCCUCAGAAACAUCAGCAUCAGCCAACUUCUUUUCCAAUAUAGUUCGUCGCUCCUUCCUCUCCUGUAGAUUCUUCAUUUGCUCCUUGUAAUGGUUCUCAAUAUACUGCUUGGCCGCAGCAACUUUCUGCUUGGUGGCAUUGGAAAGAGAUUCCUCAUCUUCUGGAGAUUUGGCCUCAUCUUUACCUUCAUCAAACGUAUCCUUCUUCCUAGAAGAAGUCCUCAGCUUGUCCCGUGGCUGUAACUUCUGUAACCAACUCCUCGCCGAAUCCAUUUGAAACCUCGAAACUAACCACCCUCCUCAGACACUAUCAUCCACCAUAGCCU
This 363-nucleotide unclassified non-coding RNA is filed under the name Hevea brasiliensis (rubber tree). The record is from RNAcentral. Lineage: Eukaryota; Viridiplantae; Streptophyta; Magnoliopsida; Malpighiales; Euphorbiaceae.